RNAcentral lists this long non-coding RNA (269 nucleotides) under Elaeis guineensis (African oil palm). RNAcentral's name for it is "long non-coding RNA (EGUI_LNC003914)". The record is from RNAcentral. Lineage: Eukaryota; Viridiplantae; Streptophyta; Magnoliopsida; Arecales; Arecaceae.
CCUUUCUCUACACUAAGAAGCUCUCUGACCCUCCUUUCUCACAUCCAAAUAUGGGUAUUAUCUGAUUUUUAUGAAAGAUUCAAAUUAGAUUUGAAUUGGUUACCAUAUAUAUAGAUAAUGUUUAACAUUAUCUACAAGUCCACAUGUCACAUCCUUUAUCCUCUUGAUUUUGUGCAACAAAUAAAGUGACAUGGGGUGUGGAAAAUCAAAAAGAAAUCAAUUUUACCAUGAAAAAAUAUGUGGAGGCAUCCCAUGUUUCCUUUUGGGCA